Molecule: ribosomal RNA, 300 nt
Filed under: uncultured bacterium
Lineage: Bacteria
Description: bacterial SSU rRNA
Rfam family: Bacterial small subunit ribosomal RNA
Source: RNAcentral
UCCACGCCGUAAACGAUGUCUACUAGGUAGUGGAGGUUCUGACGCCUGCACUGCCGAAGCAAAAGUGUUAAGUAGACCGCCUGGGGAGUACGGUCGCAAGGCUAAAACUCAAAGGAAUUGACGGGGGCUCACACAAGCGGUGGAGCAUGUGGAUUAAUUCGAAGCAACGCGCAGAACCUUACCUGGGUUUGACAUGCUUGGAUGCCAAUCUGGAAACAGAGGAAGCUGCCUUCGGGUGAAACUUGCACAGGUGCUGCAUGGCUGUCGUCAGCUCGUGUCGUGAGAUGUUGGGUUAAGUCC